ACCACAAAAAUCCCCCCUCCCCAAUUUGGCAGCUCUUCGUCUGGGGAAGGGGAGGAGCGAGAGGGAGAAAGGAAUGAGGCAUGGUCACACCUCCUCCCCAUUCCUAAACACUUGGGAGGAAUUUGGGUGUUUGGGUUUUUUUUGCCUUCGUUUUCAUCCAGCGAUUUGAUGAUCCCGUUGGAUUUCCUGGUGGGACAAAACGGGUCCAGAUUCUGGAUGGCCGCUUGGAGAAGAAGCAAAGGAUGAAUGCUGAGGAACAGAGAGUUACAAACUCUCCAAUGUUUCAGACACAAGAGACAUUCCCAGCAUUGCCUGGAGAUGCCGGGGAUUGAACCUGUGACCUUCUCCAUGCAAACAUUCUAUUACUGAGCUACGGUCCUUCCCCAGUCACCCAUACAAGUACGAAGGAGCCUUUGGACAGGAUGAUGCAGCCAGCCACAUUGUUAUUUACAACUGAACAUGAGGAGGGGGCAUUCAGAAGCAAGUGCAGAGAAAGCUCUUAGCAACACACACUAGUCCGGCAAAGCUACUGUUCCGACAGAGAGACGUGCAGAGACCUCCAUGCUGGCAGGUGGAUGUGAUUGACGGGACAUUCCAUAUGCUUGGAACAAGGACCUUCUUGUUAAGACCUAAGAGUGCUACUUGUCUCUAACUCUGAUGAACAGGAUGGCUCGCAGUGGUAUGCAUGGUCUGAUGUAAGAUAAAAAGGAAGACUCUCUUUUGAGAACCUUCAGAGGAUGCUUCUUUCCCAACCAGUUUGCA
Podarcis raffonei (Aeolian wall lizard) is the source of this 762-nucleotide long non-coding RNA. RefSeq lists it as uncharacterized. The transcript is spliced from 3 exons. The record is from RefSeq and is a predicted model, not a curated record. NCBI's taxonomy places the organism in Eukaryota, Metazoa, Chordata, Lepidosauria, Squamata, Lacertidae.